Long non-coding RNA from Chenopodium quinoa (quinoa), 1424 nucleotides. RefSeq lists it as uncharacterized. The record is from RefSeq and is a predicted model, not a curated record. NCBI's taxonomy places the organism in Eukaryota, Viridiplantae, Streptophyta, Magnoliopsida, Caryophyllales, Amaranthaceae. The transcript has 4 exons.
CCAUUAAAGGCCUCCAUUCCUAUUUCCUAAGUCUCUGAGUUAUUUCAUUGAAGCGCACUCAAUGUUCUCCAUUAAAGCGUUCUCCAUUGAAGCAUUCUCCGUUGAAUCUAAUUCUUGUAUCCUCCAUUUAAGCAGCUUCUAAGCCCCUAUUUCUCAACUGGUUAAGGUUUAACAUUGCACAUCUUGACUGAUCAACCCUAUCCCGUAGGGCAUAUACUUGUGUGAUCUUCGUUGGCUCGUACUAAUGUGUGGAUGAGAAAUGUGGAUGAGAUGAGAACAUAAACCAUUUGUUUGAAUACUUUACCAAAUUGCACAAUGAAUUUCAUCGUAUGUCUGUCAUGACCAAGGAUUACUUGCAUGAAUUUAACUCUGAUGCAGAUGCACAAGCAAAUUUUGCCGUUAGUCUUGCUGAUGGUCAAGUUCAGGAGGUGUUCUCUUAGCUCAAAUUUGUAAAGUCGGGUUUUGGAACCUCAAUAGCAGAAUCAGUUAGCUGCUGCAUACCUUUUUGGCUUUUCAUCUUUUAUUUAUUAACUUUCAAAUAAUAUUGCAUACAGGUGAAUAAGAAAUUGCACAUGCUUUUGGGCUGAACAUACUCUAGAAAAGUCAUCAACAUUGUGGCCCUGUGACAUUAAACUUGUAGUUUUACAUGUCUAGCAAGAAUUGACACCAUGAAAACCACAAAAGUGAGAUACAGUAUGGAGAAACAAAACCUGAUACUAAAAAGGUAUUUCAGGUAGCAUUAACAAGAUCUCAGUAAUCAGUAUACUAUAUACAUUAACAUGUAUAAAGUGAAAAUUAGGUAAACAAAUCUACAAAAAAUAGUAUAACUAUGCUUAUCUCAAUUCAAUAAACUUUCUACUCCACUAAGAUGAGCCAUAAGACCAUAUCUCAAUUUGGUGUUUCAUUUAUUUGUUUUGAGUAUGUCAGGAACGUUCAAAUUGACACUUUAGUUUACUGAGGACUACCCAAAUAAGCCUCCUACAGUGCGCUUUGUCUCUCGGAUGUUUCAUCCAAAUAGUAUCGGAGAAAAAGAGCCCAAUUAGUUGAACGUUCUUCUGCUGCUAGGAUCCCUACAACGUGGGGGCCUUUCACAGCUUAUUUUACAAGUCAUACCUAGACAGGGGUGGCAAAUAUGUAACUUUCUAUAUAUGCAAUACAAACAUUUUUUUUGGACGAAAAUUGUAAUAUUACUGCCUUUUUUAAUGAAAAUAUGUAACUUUAUAUAUAUGUUAAUGUUUAUGUAUCAAUUUAACUGAAAAAAAUGCAAAUUUUUUUAUUUUUUUUUUUGAUUUUUGUAGGCUAUUUUUGGCACUGGUUUUGACCAGAACCGGUGUCAAAAGUUUUAUUAAAAUUAUUUUUUACACUUUUUGCACCGGUUCAAAGCAAGAACCGGUGCCUAAAGUUGGGUUUUUCGCAUCGGUUCU